GCCCCGGUGGCGGAACUGGUAGACGCAACGGACUUAAAAUCCGUUGGCCGUAAGGCCGUGCCGGUUCGAUUCCGGCCCGGGGCACCA
Molecule: transfer RNA, 87 nt
Filed under: Betaproteobacteria bacterium
Lineage: Bacteria; Pseudomonadati; Pseudomonadota; Betaproteobacteria
Also listed under: 1 other name
Description: tRNA-Leu
Rfam family: tRNA
About the family: Transfer RNA (tRNA) molecules are approximately 80 nucleotides in length. Their secondary structure includes four short double-helical elements and three loops (D, anti-codon, and T loops).
Source: RNAcentral